GGAUGAUUCCGACGCUGCGGUGUUCGGGAAGUCCGGUGCAAGACCGGCGCGGUUCUCGCCACUGUGAGCAGGUCCGACGACGGCUUCGGGAACCUCCCGGCCACUGGGCGCCGCACCCCGCGCGGGACGGCCCCGGGAAGGCGCCGUCGCCGGAAGUCCCUGCCGAGCCAGGAGACCGGCCGUAGCGCACACCACGAU
This 198-nucleotide non-coding RNA is filed under the name Gordonia hirsuta. The record is from RNAcentral. Lineage: Bacteria; Bacillati; Actinomycetota; Actinomycetes; Mycobacteriales; Gordoniaceae. RNAcentral also lists the same sequence under 1 other name.